Molecule: unclassified non-coding RNA, 334 nt
Filed under: plant metagenome
Description: partial contains 5.8S ribosomal RNA, internal transcribed spacer 2, and large subunit ribosomal RNA
Rfam family: 5.8S ribosomal RNA (bases 1-105)
Source: RNAcentral
GAAAUGCGAUAAGUAAUGUGAAUUGCAGAAUUCAGUGAAUCAUCGAAUCUUUGAACGCACAUUGCGCCCGGCAGCAAUCUGCCGGGCAUGCCUGUCCGAGCGUCAUUUCUGCCCUCGAGCGCGGUUCGGCCCCUAGCGGGCCGGCCGCCGCCCGGUGUUGGGGCGCUGCGGGCCCUCGUGCCCGCAGGCCCUGAAAUGAAGUGGCGGUCCCGCCGCGGCGCCCCCUGCGUAGUAGUAAAGCACCUCGCAUCGGGUCCCGGCGGAGGCCAGCCGUCGAACCUCUCUUUUGAUGGUUUGACCUGGGAUCAGGUAGGGUUACCCGCUGAACUUAAGC